GCUCCGACGGCAACAAAGGCCAAUGGAGAGGGGCGGGGGCACCGGGGACCGGAGGCAGCGGCCCCUGGCGGUCACCCAUCGCCAUGCAGCCCGGCGGGAGGGCUCCGGUAAAGGCGCCGCGGAACCGCGCAGUGGCGCCGAGUACUGGGCGCUGAGACCAGAGAUAUGAAAGAGACGCUGCCUACCCUGGAAGAUGUCACCGUCUUAACUUAAGUGCAUCUACUGAGCUCUACCUACGGGCUGGGAAGCACCUGUCUCCACUUUCUCACUUACAGCUCACGCCUGAAUUCAGUCAAUCCACUUCUGACCUCACCACGUCACUUAAAACACUUUUUGUGUCAAAAUUCAAAGGAUAAUUUUCAAUUAUUUCGCUGCAGCAUCUGACACUGUGCCUCUCCUUCCUUUUUGAGUCUUUUAUUUGGCUUCAGCAUUUUCUGAGGUCUCCUAUUGCCUAAGUCCUUUUCGGUUUUCUUCAAGAGCCCCCUCUCUUGUUUUUGAUCCAUUAGAAAAGUGUUCACCUUGUUUUCAAACCUAGCUGUCUUCUCAUUCUACUCUCCACUUUUUUGCUUAAAGGUCUCAUCCAUUCUUAUGGCUUAACUAUCCUUCCAAAUCUCUAUUUCCAACCAUGUCUCAGACUCAUUUCCAAGUGUCUGCUGGACAGCUCCACCUGGAUCUACCAGCAUU
This is a long non-coding RNA of Bubalus bubalis (water buffalo), 684 nucleotides long. RefSeq lists it as uncharacterized. NCBI's taxonomy places the organism in Eukaryota, Metazoa, Chordata, Mammalia, Artiodactyla, Bovidae. The transcript has 2 exons. The record is from RefSeq and is a predicted model, not a curated record.